GGGGAAUAUUGGACAAUGGGCGCAAGCCUGAUCCAGCCAUGCCGCGUGAGUGAUGAAGGCCUUAGGGUUGUAAAGCUCUUUCACCGGUGAAGAUAAUGACGGUAACCGGAGAAGAAGCCCCGGCUAACUUCGUGCCAGCAGCCGCGGUAAUACGAAGGGGGCUAGCGUUGUUCGGAAUUACUGGGCGUAAAGCGCACGUAGGCGGACAUUUAAGUCAGGGGUGAAAUCCCGGGGCUCAACCUCGGAACUGCCUUUGAUACUGGGUGUCUAGAGUAUGGAAGAGGUAAGUGGAAUUGCGAGUGUAGAGGUGAAAUUCGUAGAUAUUCGCAGGAACACCAGUGGCGAAGGCGGCUUACUGGUCCAUUACUGACGCUGAGAUGCGAAAGCGUGGGGAGCAAAC
This 400-nucleotide ribosomal RNA is filed under the name uncultured bacterium. Its description in RNAcentral is "bacterial SSU rRNA". It matches the Rfam family "Bacterial small subunit ribosomal RNA", at positions 356 to 773 of the family's 1533-position model. The record is from RNAcentral.